CCUUGGCUGCAACCCCUGCCCCACUCCAGCUCCAGGCAACCACCCACCUGCUUACUGUCCUAUAGAUUUGUUUCUAGAAUUUCGUUUGAAUGGAAAUGCCCUCAGUACAGUGCCUGUUAGGUUCACCCAUUCUUUAUGGCUGAGUGCUGCUCCGUUGUAGGAACACAGAGGCUGUGUAUUCGCUCUCCCGCUGGCAGUGUGGUGUCCAGUUUGGGAUCCUGCCGCAGGGUUUCUUUGUACAAAUAGCACAGGAGGACACCAGCCCCACGCAGACAGAAGUCCAGGGUCCCGCCCGUCCUCCUGUCCUCAUGCUGGCAGAUAGGAGCCUCUACACUGGAGCCUUUGCGGGGGCCUGGGAACCUUUGGGAGCCUGAGCCACAGCAGGGGCUGGAGCUGGAGUCACAGCUGCAGUCUGGCCCUUGGGCUGAGUCUUGGCCUUGGCCUUUGGCCGGCAGAGCCUGAGACCCUUGGCAACGAACGCUGUGAGAGCAUGUUUCCCAAGCUUGGGAGUGGCUGUGUCAUUCCCACUCCUGCCACAACACAAGAGAGUUCCAGUUACUUUGCUACCACAGCCACAUUAAAUCAACUUAAUUUGGAUUCUCAGCUCUCACCCUGCUUGGAGAGAGGAAGGUUGUCCUCUCCCCUGUGGAGGUGCAUCUGGAGCCGAAGGCGCGGACAGACUCAGCACAGAGACAGCACAUCUGGCCGGGUUGAGAACCAUCUGCAGUGGCCACUUGACUCCAAGCCCCUGCUGUCCAUCCUGCAGAGCCAUGAGCAGUAGCCCACUUGAGAAAGGGACAUCUCUUAAGUGCACUUGCUUGCCACUGGCCACAUUCCCCACCCUGAAAGUGGGGCUCUGGGGUGAGAGGUUCUUGACCUUGAUUCCUGCUCACCGUUAUGAACCAUGUAUUCAGGUUGCAACCCAGAUCUGCUCUGACCAUCUGCUGCUGCAAACAGAAGUCUCAGUGCCUGGCAAACAGGCAGCUGGUACACAUAUUUAUUGAGUAAAGGAAUGAAUGAAAAAUAAAAUAAAAUUGCUGUUGGUGAUUUUA
Canis lupus familiaris (dog) is the source of this 1052-nucleotide long non-coding RNA. RefSeq lists it as uncharacterized. The record is from RefSeq and is a predicted model, not a curated record. Lineage: Eukaryota; Metazoa; Chordata; Mammalia; Carnivora; Canidae. The transcript has 4 exons.